AAAGGUUUUUUUUUUUUUUUUUUAAGAAAUAGGUAGCACGCUAUCUGCUUUGUUUAUUUUAUUUAGAAAUAAACUUAGCGAAAAAUGUGAAUCAACUAGGAUUCGAACUUGGGUCUCAGAUACCAACCAUCAAGCCCUUUACCACUUACUCUAGAGACGGCCGGUUAUUUUUUAAUAAAAUAGUUACUGUUGAAAGAUGGAAUGUGUGGAUCUUUUUUUACAAAAGU
Molecule: long non-coding RNA, 227 nt
Filed under: Ananas comosus (pineapple)
Lineage: Eukaryota; Viridiplantae; Streptophyta; Magnoliopsida; Poales; Bromeliaceae
Description: long non-coding RNA (ACOM_LNC004442)
Source: RNAcentral